AAAACCCAAGAGUACAUACAAGGGUUAAUAUAUAUACAUUGCGAAAGCAAAAAUAAGCACUAAAAAGCACCCGAAGCGCACUUUAAGUGCAAAAAUUUACAUAAAUCAGCUACAAUCAGCAUUUUGGCACUGAAAUAUUAUGCAAAAAUGUCGUUUUAUUAUCCAGAAUAUUUCCCUAAGUGUUGGGAAUUGAAAGGGUACAAGAAAGGUACUCAAAAGACACUAAAAAGCGUAAUUUAGCACUUUAACGAAACGGUGUCUAACCGAACAACCGGACUUUACCCGGAAUAUGAAAAUAUUGCCAUAAACAUUAUUUGUCUUUUUCUGAGCCAGUUAGGGUCCCCGAAUACCCUAGCACCCGUUAUAAAUUACAACACACUAGUAAUUUAAUUUAUUUUCCUAAUAAACAACUAUCACUAACUAUGUAGUUGAAAUUGAGCCAAAAGCCCCACCCUACAUGAACCAAUCGGUUCCCAUGUAGGGGACACCACCACACAAUUUUGGAUAUUAUAUUUAGGGAUGUUUAAUAUCUUGGAUACAUAUUGUCUUGUGGUUAAUUAAAGAUAUUGGUUUAUAAAUUAAACCAUGAGGCCACCCUUAUCAUUCAUUUCAACAAACAAAAUUUCAUUUCUUUCUUUCCUUCUUUGAUGCUCUCGGCCGAAUACCAUAGUCCACCCACCAACACUUUCAAUUUUCCAUCUUGCCAUCCCACAUACAUAUCAAGGUGCUAGAGUUCACAUAAGGAGACCCGGUGCUUACGGAAUCGCAAGGACCUCACCACAACGCCAUUAACCACCUAUUUUUCGUCUAGUUUCUUCCCUAGCCUCGAGCUAGUAGUUACGACGUUAAAUAAGCAAACCCGGUGAAGUUUACGACGCACAGGAACGCAAAGUUCCUUGGAUUAACAGGUCAAGGUUGACAGAAUGUGAGUAGAGACAAACACCAUGCUCCGAUGUGGAACGAGUUCAGCUGCAGCGCAUUUCGAACUUAUUACGAGACGUUACGCUUUCCUCUAGGCCUGAUAAAUGGAUCUGGAAGCCAGCGAAUGACGGUUUGUUCUCGGUUACAUCCUCUCGAAAGCUGCUAUCUAGGUUCGCGGUUCCAUAUUAUCCUUUCGAAUGGGUAAAAUGGGUUCCCAAAAAAGUCAAUAUUUUCGGGUGGCGCGGGGUACAAGAUUGGCUGCCAACAUUGACCGGGCUAAAGAAAAGGGGCAUGACACAAGGAUCGGCAGUUUGUAAGCUAUGCGGUGAACAAGAAGAGGAUGCGGAUCAUCUAUUUACGGGUUGCUAUCUGGCGUCAAUAUUAUGGCAAAAGGUAAGCAUUUGGGGACGUGUUGGGGAAUUUGGAAAGCGAGAAACAAAUGCAUUUUCCGUGGAAAGCGUGUUAAUAUAGAUACAAUAUUUGGCGAGAUGCAAGCAAAUACUUUCCUGUGGACGAAAUGCAGAGCAAAGCAAAGAACUUUAAAUUGGAGGAGCUGGGCAUGUUUUGCUGUAGGAGAGUAGAUCACUGUAUGUUUUUUUGUUUUUUGUUUUCUGUCUAUACUUUUGGUGAUUAUGUAAAGGUUUGGUCUAGUAUCUAACUAGCCAAUAUGUACUGGACAAAUGCUUGGUGAUGAAUGUGAUUGGAAUUUGUUGUUAAAAAAAAAGGUCAAGUUAAUUCAAAAUACAUUUUUGGUGUUGUCCUG
This is a long non-coding RNA of Helianthus annuus (common sunflower), 1684 nucleotides long. RefSeq lists it as uncharacterized. The transcript has 3 exons. The record is from RefSeq and is a predicted model, not a curated record. NCBI's taxonomy places the organism in Eukaryota, Viridiplantae, Streptophyta, Magnoliopsida, Asterales, Asteraceae.